RNAcentral lists this signal recognition particle RNA (300 nucleotides) under Cercocebus atys (sooty mangabey). RNAcentral's name for it is "Metazoan signal recognition particle RNA (ENSCATG00000021164.1)". It matches the Rfam family "Metazoan signal recognition particle RNA". Rfam says of the family: The signal recognition particle (SRP) is a universally conserved ribonucleoprotein. Lineage: Eukaryota; Metazoa; Chordata; Mammalia; Primates; Cercopithecidae. The record is from RNAcentral.
GCCUGGUGUGGUGGCCCACACCUGCAUUCUCAGCUACUGGAGAGGCUGAUGUGGGAGGAUCACUUGAGCCCAGGGCUUCUGGGCUGCAGAGCAUUAUACUGACCAGGUGCCCACACUAUGCUUGGCGUCAAAAUGGAGGGUCUCCUGGGGAGUGGGGGACAACUGAGUUGCCUGAGUCGGGGUGAACCAGCCAGGCUGGAGAUGGGUCAGGUCAAAACUCCUGUGCUGCUCAGUAGUGGGACUGCACUUGCGAAUAGUCCCUGCACUCCAGCCUGGGAGACAUAGCCAGACCCUGUCUCU